This 246-nucleotide ribosomal RNA is filed under the name Salmonella enterica. Its description in RNAcentral is "partial 23S ribosomal RNA". It matches the Rfam family "Bacterial large subunit ribosomal RNA", at positions 1 to 238 of the family's 2925-position model. Lineage: Bacteria; Pseudomonadati; Pseudomonadota; Gammaproteobacteria; Enterobacterales; Enterobacteriaceae. The record is from RNAcentral. RNAcentral also lists the same sequence under 3 other names.
GGGUUGUGAGGUUAAGCGACUAAGCGUACACGGUGGAUGCCCUGGCAGUCAGAGGCGAUGAAGGGCGUGCUAAUCUGCGAUAAGCGCCGGUAAGGUGAUAUGAACCGUUAUAACCGGCGAUACCCGAAUGGGGAAACCCAGUGUGACUCGUCACACUAUCAUUAACUGAAUCCAUAGGUUAAUGAGGCGAACCGGGGGAACUGAAACAUCUAAGUACCCCGAGGAAAAGAAAUCAACCGAGAUUCC